This 253-nucleotide ribosomal RNA is filed under the name uncultured bacterium. Its description in RNAcentral is "partial 16S ribosomal RNA". It matches the Rfam family "Bacterial small subunit ribosomal RNA", at positions 524 to 776 of the family's 1533-position model. The record is from RNAcentral.
UACGUAGGGACCAAGCGUUGUUCGGAUUUACUGGGCGUAAAGGGCGCGUAGGCGGCAAUUCAAGUCAGUUGUGAAAUCUCCGAGCUUAACUUGGAACGGUCAACUGAUACUGUCUUGCUAGAGUACAGAAGGGGCAAUCGGAAUUCUUGGUGUAGCGGUGAAAUGCGUAGAUAUCAAGAGGAACACCUGAGGUGAAGACGGGUUGCUGGGCUGAUACUGACGCUGAGGCGCGAAAGCUAGGGUAGCAAACGGG